Molecule: ribosomal RNA, 253 nt
Filed under: uncultured bacterium
Lineage: Bacteria
Description: partial 16S ribosomal RNA
Rfam family: Bacterial small subunit ribosomal RNA
Source: RNAcentral
UACGAAGGGUGCAAGCGUUACUCGGAAUUACUGGGCGUAAAGAGCGCGCAGGCGGUCGGAUAAGUCGAAUGUGAAAGCCCCCGGCUCAACUGGGGAGGGUCAUUCGAUACUGUUCGACUCGAAGGCAGGAGUGGGAAGUGGAAUUCCCGGUGUAGUGGUGAAAUGCGUAGAUAUCGGGAGGAACACCAGUGGCGAAGGCGACUUCCUGGCCUGUUCUUGACGCUGAGGCGCGAAAGCUAGGGGAGCAAACGGG